CUUUAUCUAGUUCUGCAAAUGCUACUCCUGAAUUUGAAGGCCGUGGAGGAGAAGAACUUGGCACAGAGAUAGCAAAUACCCUCUACAGAGUAUUUAGCAGUGAGAGCUGUGUAGACUUGAAAUCACUUUGUAUUAAUCCCAGAGAGCACUGCUGGGUUCUCUAUGUUGAUGUAUUGUUACUGGAAUGUGGUGGCAACCUCCUUGAUGCAAUCUCUAUCGCAGUGAAGGCAGCUCUCUUUAAUACAAGGAUACCCAAAGUGCGUGUUCUGGAGGAUGAAGAAGGUUCUAAAGAGAUUGAGCUGUCUGAUGACCCUUAUGAUUGUAUUCGGCUUAACGUGGAUAAUGUGCCCUGCAUUGUCACACUAAGCAAAAUUGGAUAUAGGCAUGUGGUGGAUGCUACCCUUCAGGAAGAAGCUUGUUCCUUGGCCAGCCUGCUUAUUUCUGUGACCAGUAAAGGCGCCCUCACUUCUAUGAAGAAAGUGGGGAAAGGCAGCCUUGAUCCUGAGAGUAUUUUUGAAAUGAUGGAGACGGGAAAAAGAGUAGGCAAGUCAUUGCACGUUGCCCUUCAGAAGAUUUUGGAUGAAGAAGAGAGUUUGGGGACCUCACGGCAGAAAGUUGGAUUUCUAGGAUGAGUUUUUAUUAAACGUUCAAAACUGUUUUUAAUUGAUUGUGCAAUCCUUGUCACUUUGUAUAUAGAAAAAGGUUUUUGGGUUUUUUUUUGUUCCAGUACCUUUAUCCUUCUGGCUGAGAGACUUUUAAAAAAUGUUACUAAGCAUAAAGAAAGCUACAGUUAAAUGCGAGCAAGCAAAUUUGAGAUGUUUUCCAUCUGGGUAGCUGUCGGCACCUAGGAAGUGUGCAAUUGAUGCAGUUGCCUGGGAAGUGCUUGUGUCUGUUUUCAAGAGCCACUGGUGUAGGUUCUGCUUAAUUCUGUUUCCUUGUGCUCCACUCACUUCUGCAGAGCAGCUGCUGUGUUCAAGGGUGUGUAUGGGGGUGUCCUCAGUGCAGCAUAAGUCAGGUUUUGAGCCUCUUGAAGUUUUUUUUUUGGGUCACCAGACAGAUGAGAACAGCACUUUUUAAAGAAGGAAUUCUUCCUUUAAAUUAUCUUACUUUGAAUAAAGUGUGGUUACGUUUUGCUAUAAAUAUGUGGUCCAAAGUUUCUAAUUCAUAUUUUAAACCGAGAUUUCUUUGCUUACAAGAACUCUGCCUGUCCCUUUUGCCAACAGGUACAAUAGUAACCUAGCCAAAACCUCACCCAGUGGCUAGGGAGAAGGAGAAUGGCUAAGGUAGAAGGGAAAAUAAGUUAAUUUUUUCGGAGUUUGAUAAUUCAGCCACUACUGUAAUGAGCAGGCAGGUUUAAAAACAUAGAAAAUAAAAAAAUUGUCCUACCAAAUUUGCCCAAGAUGUCUGUUUUGAAGACAUGGGAUUUUUUUUAGUGCCUUAAGUAAUGGGUUAGGUAUAUUAUGAUAGUGUUACAUAGUAAUACGGGCAAGAAGUGAGAAUGAUUAUAUAUAUAUAUAUAUAUAAAAUCUUUAAUUACUCCAGUGGAUUCAUACAAUGUGAAGCAAAGGCUAACCUGGACAUCAGCUUUACAGUAGCUGUGAUCCAUUCCUUGCCACGCAAAGCUACUUGUAGGAAUAUAGAAAGAAAACUGAAGGGAGAAAAAACAUUUACAAUACCUUAGACUUAACCACAGGCAGUUUUUCUUUGGUCAUGUAUUGUUUAGUGUUUCAGAAAAUGCUUUGUCUAAAUGAGGAUUGUGAGUCUUAAACCACAAAUGUUCUCUGAAUAGCGGUUGCCUGUUUUAUUACAGAUUUGUAGUUGGAUACCAAAAGGCUGCCCAGAGUUACUUCCAGGGUGAAUUUUGUAACAUGGUAAUAAUAGAGAAUUUCUGCGUAGCCUUCCAGCUGAAGGAUCUCCAAGCGUUUUGCAAGUUACAUCAUUUAAGAUGCUUCUUUUACCCUGUCCAGAUCCCUUUAAUUUUAAAUAGUUUGUUAUGGGAGCUGGGGUGGGGGGAGAAGAAACCUCACUGUAUCAAGCCUGUUAAGUGACACCUCCGUGGAGAUGAAUGUAUUUGCAUUCCCUCUCUACUUCUUACUAAGCAUGGCAAAUAUUUAGCCCGUCUGAGAUCUAGCCUAUGUGCUCAAGGUACCUAAAAAGCAAACUCUUGCUACCUGAGCAUCCAUCUCUGCUGCCAGCACAGGGAAGCUUGUGGAGCAGCUGUUUAUACAAAAAUGACUACCCCAGUCACAAAAUACUUGCUGCCAAGCACUUUCUGACAGUGUAAGUAUAAAUUAACAUGGUGCAAGUAUCUGCAGUGCCUCCUCUAACCAAGCAUCUCUUCCCCCAGGGCUUCUGGAGCUGUGUAAGCAGGCACAGAAUGAAUUGGGUGCCUUCAAGGGGUCCUAUUCCUUCCACACUCACUACCUUGCUCUCUGUUAGCAUGGCCAAGCAGUGGGGUGGAGUGUGGUUCCAGUUCAGGCUAAGGCUGCUUCUACCCCUGAGAUAUAAAUAGUGAGCCCAGCCAAAAGUAUUACGCAGCUGCCCCUGGAGGUUUGCUGCCACCAACUUGUAUCCCAAGUGGAUAAACAAAGCUCCAACAGGGGUAAAAGCUCUCCCAGUUGAUACAACAUCUGCCAAGAAAUCUUUGAGACCAUGGUUCUCAGGCAUGCUAAGGGCUGCGCUGCCCAUUUCUAUUUUCUUGGCUCUCUUUAACCCCUCCCUUCCAUCCCAAACAAAAAUAGCAGUUAGAUUUUUAAUAGAGGCUUCAACCGAGACUGCUCCUGUUCCCAUCUGGGCUGGUGGAAAGUUCCAUGUGUUGCUGUGCAGAUAUUGCCACGUUUUCAUUGACUCGAGUCCAGUAGAACUAAGAGGAAACAUCUGCAGGGCAGGAUAGCUCUCUGUUUGUCCCAGAAAUUAAUUGCUUCUGCUGGGAGUGUCGAGAAGCUGAAAGCUGUGUGCUAGAGAUGAGGAGUCUAGCAACUCCUGCUAGGCUUCUACUCGUGUUUCCCAAAAUACACUCUGUGCAAUUUACCUUUUUUUUUCUUUUUUCCUUCCUUCCCCAAGUAUCCCAGCCUAAAGGUCUGUUUGACAGAGAGAACCCCCAUGAAGCAGGAGAGGGCCAAGGCAGUAGAUCAGUAGACAUGGCUGAUUUGCUUCUCGUCUUCCUCCAGAUCAGUGUUUACAUUUAGGGUGAUGCACAGAUUAUUUACCAAGCCCGGGAAUCUCAUCAACCAACGUUUCACAACUUACAGUAACGGUUCAACAUUGCAAUUGUGUAGUUUGGGGAGGAGAAGGGGAGCUUGUGUGGCCCUGGGGAUGGGGAUUAAGGCAACGGGGAGGAGAGGUGCUAUGCCAGACGCAGUUGGGCUUCAUAAAAACUUGCUUCAGCACAGCCUGUUGUAGAGACACGUUAGUGGGAACCAGAGCUCACUUUUUUUUUUUGAGGGACUCAGUAUCUUGAUUUGAUGUAGAUAAUAUCUCAUGGAGUUUCUGUCUGUUCUCUGCAAAUAGGGAUUAAAUGGGAUUUACUACCUUGUGCGAGGACUGCCUCCAACUUUUCUUUUAAACUUCAGCAGAUGCUGUUUCCCUCCUCAACGUAGGGAUGUUCUCCAGCCCCGCUGUGGCACUGCUUUACUUUGCCUGUAAUAAGCAGCCAGGGAGCCCCAGAGCUGGGGGAAGAAGUCAGCAAGACUUGAGAGAGACCAACUUUAAUCUGACGAGGCUUUUCGAGGGCAUGGAUUGCUUUCUUCCUGCUGUCUGAUCACACAAUCUUUUCUCUAUUUUGAAAAAAUUAAGGCAUUUCUAAGGCCGAUGCUGAAAUCUUUACAGUCCCUAAUUCGGCAUGCUCAGCCACGUGAAAGCAAGCCA
Calidris pugnax (ruff) is the source of this 3867-nucleotide RNA transcript. It is a transcript of the gene named exosome component 7, with no coding region annotated. NCBI's taxonomy places the organism in Eukaryota, Metazoa, Chordata, Aves, Charadriiformes, Scolopacidae. The record is from RefSeq and is a predicted model, not a curated record. The transcript is spliced from 6 exons.